This is a non-coding RNA of Castor canadensis (American beaver), 2281 nucleotides long. NCBI's taxonomy places the organism in Eukaryota, Metazoa, Chordata, Mammalia, Rodentia, Castoridae. The record is from RefSeq and is a predicted model, not a curated record.
AACUAGAGCAAUAUUUUCUUUUUUCUCCAGAUCCCAAUUCUCUGGCUGGCCAGAAUGGCCCUGACCAUGCUCUCAUAGGAGGAAUAGUGGCUGUAGUUGUAUUUGUCACACUGUGCUCUAUAUUUCUGCUUGGUCGGUAUCUGGCAAGACAUAAAGGAACAUAUUUAACGAAUGAAGCUAAAGGAGCUGAAGAUGCACCUGAUGCUGAUACAGCCAUUAUCAAUGCUGAAGGCAGCCAAGUCAAUGCUGAAGAGAAAAAAGAGUAUUUCAUUUAAAAUUCAGACCACAGUUCUGAGUUUUACUUACCAGGCUGACUGCUGGAGAAAACUGGCUAUCAUCUUUCAGAAAUCAUUCCUACCAUCUUCUGCUACUUUUAUUAACAUCCAUACUGUACUGCUCUCAGUAGCCAGUAUAUACCAACAAUCAGCUGUUGAAAGCAUCAUUCUUUAAUUACUGUACCAUCCAUAAUGCAGGACAUUUCUUACUGCCUAAAUUUCACACCAUUGCUGUUUUAACACACAGUGCUUGAAUAUACAGCCUUAACAAUGUUAAUCAUUUCCUUGGAUCAUGAUAUUAAGUUGUUUUUAUCCAUUGAAAAACAUGUAUGCAGAGGUUCUUCCUUUCCCCAUUUUUUCUUUAAAUCAUAAACUUUAUUGAUUUGCCACUGGACAGCUUUCACAAGUAACAGGAUUAGGUAAAGACCUAAUAUACUUAAAUUUAAUUGAAGAUUAGAGGUUUACAAACAAUGUUUUCUACCUGUCUAUCUUCAAAGACAUGUUUUGGAAACAUAUGCCCUAGAAAACACAAACUGAAAACACUGUAGUGUAGUUUAUGGAAUGUUUGAGAUUAUACUGGUUAUGCUGUAUCAAUCUGCUAUUUAAAAAUUUAGUGUUUGAUACAUGAGCCAUGUGUAUGGAUAUAAUCAAGACAUAACAUCUUAUAUAAUUAUAUAGAUCCCACCAUUAGGUUAUUGUAGCUUCAUUUAUCAAUAAAUUAUUCCAAACAUUUAACUGCUUUGGGAAUCACAAAGAUUUCAUUCAUUUCUCUAUUUGAUUCUGUAAUUUAUUUGCUCCAUAAGGACUCACCUGCCUAAACAAAAUUGAAGUAUCCGUAGGGCACAAUUUUGAGACAUUUUAGUAUCUGUAUAUAGUGCAUAUAAGAAAUCCAAUUAAACAUUAUUUGAUACAUAUUUAACUUUUUUGGCUGUAGGUUAUUCAGUCAUAAGUAAGCAUUUUCUAACAUCCAUUAUAUCCCUUUAGAUAUUACUUAAACAAAUAUUAUAAGUAGAUAACAUGUAUUAGUAUUUUUGUCUGUAUGUCCUAGCACUGUUCAACAACAAAUUUUUCUAGUUCUUGUUAAUUUUUAUUUGUUAUACAAUGGAAGCACAAUGUUAUAAGGAAAGGUAAUUUUAAGCUAACAACCAGUGCACAGCCUCAGGUUUUAAAUUACAACCACAGUUGAAUAAUAACCUAAAAUAAACUCUUAGUUUGGUAAAAAUUUAUAAAUUUUAAUUUGGCAGUUCCAGAGCUGCUAACCUAUGUUGGUUUGCCAAAAAGAAGUAUUUAAGAUAUGUUUUCUGUAUAAAUGAACUAAUUCUUUCUAUUAAAUUCCUGUCUAUGCAUUUUGUGAGGUACAAACUUAUGAAACAGUGAGUGAUAGAGAAUUUCUGCCAUGCUUUUAACUCCAAGGUGAAAGUCUUUUUCUCUGGAUUAUUUUGAAAUUUUUGUGUAUUUAACCAUUAUGAAAUGCUGUAUUCUUAAAUAUGACAAAGUCAAUAUAAAGUCUUAUUUCUUCUAGUAAAAUAUAAUAUGGCUAGAUUAGUUUUCAUUAAAUUUAUUAUAUGCUAAAUUAAAAAUCCAGUUAGAUUAAAAGUUAUUUUCCCAUUUACAAGCAUUGCACCUUUAAGAAGAAUACAAAUAUGACAAAAUGGUAGCUGUACUUUGAUGUCUGAUAGCAUGAUGGCCUAGUGUUUUAAAACUAAUACCUUCAAAUUUAUUUUUGAGAAAUAAGAAUGGUUGAGUACAACAUCAUGUAUUAGUACAAAGUGAAAGACAAGGGUGCUGUAUCUUAGAUUAUUUAUCAGAAAAGUAUAAAUCUUUUAAGGACAAUGUUAGAUUUUUUUAAGUUGGUUGUUUUGAUUGUUGAAGGAUUUAUCUUGUUGAUUUCUUACAAAAGAAAAGGACGAUGUCAGUCAAGCAGCACUUUUUCAAAAUAUACAGAACAUAAAUAUGAUGUGGUUGAGUGUUAACAUAAUAAAUCAUAUACAGUAUGACAUUUUAAG